GAAAUAGCUACUCUCGAACUCAGACACUAUGGUUCGCGCCUCGUUCGCGCGCGCGUUGUGAGCAUUCAAGUUUCGUUUUUUGCACUUGCUUAGUAGCUGAAAUUGCGGACAUUGCAGGGUUGGGCUUGAUGACAUUUGUUGCUCAGCUGCCGCGACACAUUUGGAGCAAAGCUUCUGCUUAUUUCCUUUGGCCGCACCUUAUAUUUGUUGUCUUUGUCAACAUCUGACCUGUUUCUGCCUUGUUGAAAGCAAGUGGCCACAAGUACUGCUUAGUUUGCUCAGUCUAAACCUGGUAGUGCAUCCAGUUUAGCGCCGUGCACAUGUGUACGGACGCGUGCACGGACGUAACGCUGCUGCCCAUCGCGAGUCGUAAGCAAAAAAAAAAGGCCGACUGAAAAAAAACAACAAGAAAUAUAAUAAGCUGCACGAUCAACAGAUUUUUGAAGAGACCGUUUCAACAGAGAUAUCUGAAGCAGAUCGUUAUUGGAUAUGAAGAAAUGUGCAGUGGAUAACAGCAAAACAUGUGGUAACCGACUGACUGACGGUAGUAAGGCUCACAGCCUAAGUUUUUCACUAUUUACACCGAUAAUGUAGCACGUAUUUGCGCAAUUAAAUCACUUGCUAUGCGCAGCAACCGCAC
Molecule: long non-coding RNA, 640 nt
Organism: Dermacentor silvarum
Lineage: Eukaryota; Metazoa; Arthropoda; Arachnida; Ixodida; Ixodidae
Exons: 3
Source: RefSeq, a predicted model, not a curated record